Molecule: ribosomal RNA, 468 nt
Filed under: uncultured bacterium
Lineage: Bacteria
Description: partial 16S ribosomal RNA
Rfam family: Bacterial small subunit ribosomal RNA
Source: RNAcentral
GACGAACGCUGGCGGCGUGCUUAACACAUGCAAGUCGAACGGAAAGGCCUCUUUCGGGGGGUACUCGAGUGGCGAACGGGUGAGUAACACGUGAGUAACCUGCCCUUGACUUUGGGAUAACUUCAGGAAACUGGGGCUAAUACCGGAUAGGAGCUCCUGCUGCAUGGUGGGGGUUGGAAAGUUUCGGCGGUUGGGGAUGGACUCGCGGCUUAUCAGCUUGUUGGUGGGGUAGUGGCUUACCAAGGCUUUGACGGGUAGCCGGCCUGAGAGGGUGACCGGCCACAUUGGGACUGAGAUACGGCCCAGACUCCUACGGGAGGCAGCAGUGGGGAAUAUUGCGCAAUGGGUGGAAGCCUGAUGCAGCAACGCCGUGUGCGGGAUGACGGCCUUCGGGUUGUAAACCGCUUUCGCUCAUGACGAAGCUUUGUGUGACGGUAGUGGGUAAAGAAGCACCGGCUAACUACGUGC